GUCGAGUUUGCUUAGAUAAGUCCGAAACAUUUUCCCUCUUUCUAUUUUGUCGUAUACGCAAAAACACAUUAAAAAUAUCAUCUUCAAGAUGUAUUAUAAUUCAUGUUGUAUAGCAGAUGUACAUGUACAUAUACGAGAUGCUCCAUCUCCCUUAAUUUCUUUUACAUAAUUGAACAUAAAUUAUUUAUACAUGAAAUGCAUUAUAUUAUUCACUUAUCGAGUUGGAAAUGCAAACUGACAUAUAUUUAUAGA
Bombus pyrosoma is the source of this 252-nucleotide long non-coding RNA. RefSeq lists it as uncharacterized. Lineage: Eukaryota; Metazoa; Arthropoda; Insecta; Hymenoptera; Apidae. The record is from RefSeq and is a predicted model, not a curated record. The transcript is spliced from 2 exons.